CAGCACGGGAGCAAUCCUGGUGGCGAGUGGCGAACGGGUGAGUAAUAUAUCGGAACGUGCCCAGUCGUGGGGGAUAACGCAGCGAAAGCUGUGCUAAUACCGCAUACGAUCUACGGAUGAAAGCGGGGGACUCGCAAGAGCCUCGCGCGAUUGGAGCGGCCGAUAUCAGAUUAGCUAGUUGGUGGGGUAAAAGCCCACCAAGGCGACGAUCUGUAGCUGGUCUGAGAGGACGACCAGCCACACUGGAACUGAGACACGGUCCAGACUCCUACGGGAGGCAGCAGUGGGGAAUUUUGGACAAUGGGCGCAAGCCUGAUCCAGCAAUGCCGCGUGCAGGAUGAAGGCCUUCGGGUUGUAAACUGCUUUUGUACGGAACGAAAAGGUCUGCCCUAAUACGGCGGGCUCAUGACGGUACCGUAAGAAUAAGCACCGGCUAACUACGUGCCAGCAGCCGCGGUAAUACGUAGGGUGCGAGCGUUAAUCGGAAUUACUGGGCGUAAAGCGUGCGCAGGCGGUUAUAUAAGACAGAUGUGAAAUCCCCGGGCUCAACCUGGGACCUGCAUUUGUGACUGUAUAGCUAGAGUACGGUAGAGGGGGAUGGAAUUCCGCGUGUAGCAGUGAAAUGCGUAGAUAUGCGGAGGAACACCGAUGGCGAAGGCAAUCCCCUGGACCUGUACUGACGCUCAUGCACG
Molecule: ribosomal RNA, 692 nt
Filed under: uncultured beta proteobacterium
Lineage: Bacteria; Pseudomonadati; Pseudomonadota; Betaproteobacteria
Description: bacterial SSU rRNA
Rfam family: Bacterial small subunit ribosomal RNA
Source: RNAcentral